This 418-nucleotide ribosomal RNA is filed under the name uncultured bacterium. Its description in RNAcentral is "bacterial SSU rRNA". It matches the Rfam family "Bacterial small subunit ribosomal RNA", at positions 94 to 507 of the family's 1533-position model. The record is from RNAcentral.
AGUGGCGAACGGGUGAGUAAUGCAUCGGAACGUACCUUUCGAGUGGGGGACAACGUAGCGAAAGUUACGCUAAUACCGCAUAUUCUGUGAGCAGGAAAGCAGGGGAUCGCAAGACCUUGCGCUGAUUGAGCGGCCGAUGUCAGAUUAGCUAGUUGGUGAGGUAAAGGCUCACCAAGGCGACGAUCUGUAGCGGGUCUGAGAGGAUGAUCCGCCACACUGGAACUGAGACACGGUCCAGACUCCUACGGGAGGCAGCAGUGGGGAAUUUUGGACAAUGGGGGCAACCCUGAUCCAGCCAUGCCGCGUGAGUGAAGAAGGCCUUCGGGUUGUAAAGCUCUUUCGGCCGGGAAGAAAUCGCAUGGGUUAAUACCCUGUGCGGAUGACGGUACCGGCAUAAGAAGCACCGGCUAACUACGUG